GUGUCUCGUCAGCUUCAAUCCUUUCUUCUCCUUGACCAAGUAAUCAUCUUUGGAUGGCUUCUCGCUCUGCCCUCUCUGGAAGUACCUGAAAUACGUAGGCCUCAGUGCCCUUCUCCUACUCUCAUCCACAUCGCUUAUCAGACUCCAGAGAUUCAAACUUUUCUUCUGUCCUCCAACAACAUCUCUCACCUUCUUCUUACCGGCAAACACCAUGCCAUUAGACCCUCCGAUUACCCGAGUGGAACCAUCGGGGGAAAGGCCAAGAGACAUGAGAGGAGCAGGAAACCUCAUAGAGUAAGUCACCUUUGCUCUCCCGUAAUCGAAGACUUUCAUGUAUCCGUCCAAAGCAACGCUCACAAGUCGACUCUCAGCCGAUUCCAUUCUCGCAACGCGGAGAGACGUGACGGUCUUGUUGUGACUCUCCAUGGAGCAAACCAUCUUCCCGCCUCCGAUCAAAUCCCAUACCUUGACGCUGUUGCCACCAGCGGUUGCGAUCAAUCCACCGGAAGGCAGGUAUACGACGUCCUCCACUGGGAGUCCGUGGUUGAUCUCGGCA
Arabidopsis thaliana (thale cress) is the source of this 556-nucleotide long non-coding RNA. RefSeq annotates it as other RNA. The record is from RefSeq. Lineage: Eukaryota; Viridiplantae; Streptophyta; Magnoliopsida; Brassicales; Brassicaceae. The transcript has a single exon.